Molecule: long non-coding RNA, 1588 nt
Organism: Saccostrea echinata
Lineage: Eukaryota; Metazoa; Mollusca; Bivalvia; Ostreida; Ostreidae
Exons: 4
Source: RefSeq, a predicted model, not a curated record
UGACUAACCCUCCCCCCUUCUGGGAUGGGGGCACCCACACCAGCACACAAGAUCUUUAUGGAUUCCCCCGGGCCAUUAUUUGUACUGUGAGCUGCACUGUGCGCCCGACCGUGAAAGUUGCGUGCAAAAGUGACAUUCUUAGGCAGUGACCGCCUUAGACGCCUAUUGAAGCUCUCCACUUUCUGUGUAUUGGUAUUAAGAAUGGAUUUGUCUAGCACUGACGGGGCAAGCCGCCUAUUGACACAGGCCUGGAGAAUCCUUGCAUUGGCCCUGGAGUAUGGAAUUUUGAAGUUUCCAUCAAGUGAAGACUCGGCUGGAGGUGGAGUGUUGGUGGCCAUAAAAAUUUUGCGCAGAGAUGAACUGCCAAUGGGGGUUUGACUUAGACCUACUUGUAGGCCAUAGUUUAUUGUUGCUGCUUUCCUUCCCCUGGAAUUGGACUGCACUUCCACAUAGAGCUUGUGCAUUUCUGAAGUGUAAGGGCACCUGCUGCAUUUCAGCCGUAGUCGAGUACCCAGGCCACGCCUCUCCUCAGAGUCCAUGUCCCAGGUCAGGUUGCCGUCACAUCCAGGGUUGGUCCUCCCAUGUUCUUUGAAGGCUGUAUUGAACAGCCCACUUGUCUUUUGAAGAUGGAGCAGUCUGUGGGAGUCUGAAUCACACCUACCGAAACCAGUUUUGUAUCUGAUCACUUCCUAUCCAGGGGUCUUGGCCGCAGCAACCGGUGGCACCCAGGUCGCAGCAUCAUUUCCUGUUCCUCACUCACUGAGGGUGGAUGUCUCACCAGUUCCAGGGUUUCCCGGUCUACUCUUGUGAAUGGUGCAGGAAAAACACCAGAAUUGCCUAGGUACAGGGGGCCGCCAUCUUGGACACCCAAAGUUGUGCGGAGAAGAAAAGCUGACAGGAGUCCUGAUUGGUCAUUAAGAGAAAAUCUUUGUGGUGGAAUUUGACAGUUAAAUAUAAGUGAUAAAAAUUAUAUGUGAUAUAACAGAAUGUGUGAAAAGAUAUAGGACUUGUAAAGGAAGACUUGAGAUGAGGGGUGAUAUUUUGCUGGACAGUUUCAUUCAGUGCGGAUCUAUACCAGUUGUAAACAGGCCAAAAUUUAAAGGAAAAACGCAACGGCACGAUAUAUUUUUCGUGGUGGAAUUUUGAAGAAGAGGUGUUGAACUUUCUUUCACAGUGACUGAUUUUUUGAAUAUUGAUUAUAUAAAUAAGUGACAGUGAUUGGAAUUUGUAUGGAAGUCUAUGGGAAAACAUUUGGUGGUGUUUGUCCACAUGAGAUGUUGAAUGAAAAGUAGUAUUUAAAUUGUAUAAUUUUAUUUGUUUGAAAGUUUUAAUAAUGGAACUAUGUUGCACGAGACAUUUUCCGUUUACUGUAAACGAAAUCUGUUCUUAGUAGAACGAAUUUUUAGAGUAAAUUGGUUAAACGGAUUUUAUCAGGGUAUAAAUAAGACGAAUCCGUUAAUUUUCAGUGAGUCUGCAACUUUUGGGUUUUAGAGAAACAAGUGGGGUUAGCAUAAUUUUUAAGAUGUAAGUUUAUUUAUUCAUUUGGAAUUUUACUGGGUAAAAACUAAUUGAAAUUGCUAGGAAAUAU